UACGGAGGAUCCAAGCGUUAUCCGGAAUCAUUGGGUUUAAAGGGUCCGUAGGUGGAUGAUUAAGUCAGAGGUGAAAUCCUGCAGCUCAACUGUAGAAUUGCCUUUGAUACUGGUUAUCUUGAGUUAUUGUGAAGUAGUUAGAAUAUGUGGUGUAGCGGUGAAAUGCAUAGAUAUUACAUGGAAUACCGAUUGCGAAGGCAGAUUACUAACAAUACACUGACACUGAUGGACGAAAGCGUGGGGAGCGAACAGG
This 253-nucleotide ribosomal RNA is filed under the name uncultured bacterium. RNAcentral describes it as "partial 16S ribosomal RNA". It matches the Rfam family "Bacterial small subunit ribosomal RNA", at positions 524 to 776 of the family's 1533-position model. The record is from RNAcentral.